Molecule: long non-coding RNA, 1210 nt
Organism: Gymnodraco acuticeps
Lineage: Eukaryota; Metazoa; Chordata; Actinopteri; Perciformes; Bathydraconidae
Exons: 3
Source: RefSeq, a predicted model, not a curated record
AAGGAGGGAACCCAGUAAGGUUAAAAUUUGUCAUGAGAGAGAGUCUGCAAUUACUAUAGCAAAAUGCCUGCUAGUUACGGUUACAGUUAGGUUAAAUUAGAGGACUGUUCCUCAACUGUAAUCAAGCUAAAUCAAAGGACUGUUAUUUUUCAAUCGUGGAGGGAACAUCAGAGGGAUCAGGCUGGCUUAGCUUAUUGGAAGCAGAUGGCAGACCAAAGGCAAGAAGGCCACAGUUUCAUGAAGCGUGGUUUGAACAUGCCAGGACCAUGUCGAGGGGCAUGCCCAUGGAUGAUGGCUACAUGUCAUCAUCUGUGCAUCCCAAUGCACUGGUUGAGGCGACGUUUGAAGAACUAUGCAUCAAUGACUUUUCAGUGAAUUGGUGGCUUUGAAGCCCCUUACUCCUGGUGCCCUGCUGCACUAUAAUCAGGAAUCAAAGGCUGGCGCCUGGGAUCCAUCAUCUCUGGCAAAGUGGUCGUGUGUUCAGUAACGCUGGCUAACUGAGUAUGUAAUUACUAGCUGUCUAGAGAUUACUUGAUUGACUAAACAUUAAAAAGAGCGAGUAAGAAGUAGAGCAAACAUUUGUGAAAAUGAUCAAGAGUAUGUAAGAGAGACUGUGUGUGUUAAUGUUCCUUCACAUUUCUCCAAACUGUGACAUUGUGAUGGUGCAUGUGCUGAAUUCACCAUUAAAAAGAGCCCAGUGUGGAUGAGAGCCCACUAAUGGACAGACAGUCUUAGCUAGCCAGUACACGGCACAAUACCAGAUGGUGCAGUGUUUCCCAUAUGGAAUAGACAAACACUAAGCACAUGUCAGAAUCCAACACUGUUUGCUCCAGCAGCAUCCUAGCCUUGGGAACAAAGUGGUCAUUCACACUAGUCAGUGCACUGUAUAAUUACCCAGAUAGACAUUAUGAGACACAAUGCCAGCUCAGUAAAACUGGAUAAAGAGGGCACUUAUGUCUGUACCCUCAACCUACCCAUCGUUCAUCCUGUCUGUGCUCCAGUUGCAUAAUUUGUCUCUCUUCACAUGAGAUGAAUGGGCAUGAGUCUAUAUAUUUCUGAUUCAACAUACAAAUCAAUUUGCCAAGGCUCAAUUAUGUGUGGAAAAUACUCUCAUACUUACUUUGCAACGCUUUAUGAGCAGUUUGUUUCAGUUAUUCACGCACCACUAUUUUACUGCACUGUAAUAUUAACAAUAAGGUCUUCAAUUGCU